This 523-nucleotide ribosomal RNA is filed under the name uncultured archaeon. Its description in RNAcentral is "bacterial SSU rRNA". It matches the Rfam family "Archaeal small subunit ribosomal RNA", at positions 369 to 888 of the family's 1478-position model. The record is from RNAcentral.
GAUANGGGGACUCCACGUGCACAGGCAUAUCGCCUCGCGCUUUUCUGUACCCGUAAGGUGGUACAAAAAUAAGGGCUGGGCAAGACCGGUGCCAGCCGCCGCGGUAAUACCGGCAGCCCGAGUGAUGGCCGAUCUUAUUGGGCCUAAAGCGUCCGUAGCUGGCCUCGCAAGUCCAUCGGGAAAUCCACCCGCUCAACGGGUGGGCGUCCGGUGGAAACUGCAAGGCUUGGGACCGGAAGGCUCGAGGGGUACGUCCGGGGUAGGAGUGAAAUCCCGUAAUCCCGAACGGACCGCCGAUGGCGAAAGCACCUCGCGAAAACGGAUCCGACAGUGAGGGACGAAAGCCAGGGUCUCGAACCGGAUUAGAUACCCGGGUAGUCCUGGCCGUAAACAAUGCUUGCUAGGUGUGGCUCCCGCUACGAGCGAGUGCUGUGCCGUAGGGAAGCCGAUAAGCAAACCGCCUGGGAAGUACGUCUGCAAGGAUGAAACUUAAAGGAAUGGGGGGGGGAAAACACACAAAAGG